This 387-nucleotide ribosomal RNA is filed under the name uncultured Pandoraea sp. RNAcentral's name for it is "bacterial SSU rRNA". It matches the Rfam family "Bacterial small subunit ribosomal RNA", at positions 30 to 399 of the family's 1533-position model. Lineage: Bacteria; Pseudomonadati; Pseudomonadota; Betaproteobacteria; Burkholderiales; Burkholderiaceae. The record is from RNAcentral.
AUUGAACGCUGGCGGCAUGCCUUACACAUGCAAGUCGAACGGCAGCACGGGUGCUUGCACCCUGGUAGUCGGACGUCGGACGGGAACGGGGUCGGAAGUUAAACGUACAUCGGAAUGUACCUUGUAGUGGGGGAUAGCUCGGCGAAAGCCGGAUUAAUACCGCAUACGCUCUGAGGAGGAAAGCGGGGGACCUUCGGGCCUCGUGCUACAAGAGCAGCCGAUGUCAGAUUAGCUUGUUGGUGAGGUAAAAGCUCACCAAGGCGACGAUCUGUAGCUGGUCUGAGAGGACGACCAGCCACACUGGGACUGAGACACGGCCCAGACUCCUACGGGAGGCAGCAGUGGGGAAUUUUGGACAAUGGGCGAAAGCCUGAUCCAGCAAUGCCG